This 6702-nucleotide long non-coding RNA is filed under the name Sus scrofa (pig). RNAcentral describes it as "lncRNA (ENSSSCG00055017077.1)". The record is from RNAcentral. Lineage: Eukaryota; Metazoa; Chordata; Mammalia; Artiodactyla; Suidae.
UUUUUUUUUUUUCAUUUUAUUUUCCCUCUCAUGUUCAAAGCCCAUUUCUGCUUACUCUGAGCUUGAGUCUAUACUAUGAACAACUGAGGAGCUAGAAAUUGGACUGCUGGAUUAAUGGAAUAAACCUGAUGAUGGCCAGAAUGAUUUAUUUGAUAACUGAUUAUUGAGUAACCCCUUCUGAUUAUUGCUUAUGAAACAUUAUCUAUAUUUUUAUGACUGCAACAGCAGCAUAUGGAAGUUCCUGGGUCAGGAAUUGCAUCUGAGGGCAGCUACAGCAAUGCCGGGUUCUUUAACCCACUGUACCAGGCCAGGGAUUUAACACACGCCUCUUCAGCGACCUCAGCUGCCACAGUUGGAAUCUUAACCAACUGCGCCACAGCUGGAACUCCCUGAUUAUUGCUUAUAUUGUAUAGACAGUAAUCAUAAAUUAGACCUUGUAGCCAUUAAAUUGUGAUAUCACUUUCUUUCUAGAAACCAUAGUACAAUUAUAUUUGGAGUAACUGAAAAGAAAGAAUGAGUCUAUUAUCCUGUAUCUACAGCAUAUUAUUAGUACACAUUCACUGAUUGGUGAAUUACAAAAUUGAAGGUGCAUUUGACAUUUUUUUCUCACUUUUGCUACUACCGUCAUCAACGGCAUGACCACCAUGUCAACUUGACUGGCAUUUCCUCUGGCAGCCAAGAAUUCUCCAGCCUCAGGAUCUGUGGUGUCCACGGUCUUUUGAAAUGGAAAUUUCAGUGACCCAAUACAUGCAUGGCUUUUUCCUCACUUCACUGGGGUUAUUUAUAAAAUCAGAGAGGCUUUCCUGGUGCACUCUACAUAAAAUCAACUCCCCUUCCUCUCUGUCUUGUAUUACACUUUAUUUUUCUACAUUCCACUAUCCCCACCUGACAUAUUUUUAUUUUUGAUACUCUCAUUUGAUUAUCGGCUCUAUGAGGAAAAAAAAAAAAGUUCGUUUUAAAGCCACACAUUCUAUUAUUCCCCUUGCAAAAAAGAAGAAAUGAUAAGGAAGUUUGCAAUAUUUCCAGAAUCGCAAACAGUGCUUCUUUGGACUAUAACAGGUGGAAGUUCUUUUAAAAAUUGCUUAAUUCUAAUUCUGUCAAGAAGAAAACGUCUUUGACAUUUUGGAUGGUAUAGCUAAGACCAAGAACAUUACUUCAGUAUUUAUGCAUAUCCCAUGGUUACCACAGUCUGAAGCAAAAAUCUUGUCUUUAAUAGUUGGUGCAUCAUUCUGCAAUUUUUUUUUUCAAGCAAUAGACAAUUUCCCAGCUCUCUUUACAUCACCCUUUUAAUAUCUGGAAUAGCAAUGCAAAAGUUCUAGAUCAUAGGACCUACCCCAUUUAUUGCACAGAAUAAAGCUCUUAAUCUUUCAUUUAAGGCAGGGCACUCUCAAUAUUCUUUUUGUUUCUGUAUCAAAAGUUCACUUUAGUUAAAAGGCUAUUAAUUCAUUCCUUUUUAUUACAAUAGCCACUGAGGAUUACAAAAAAAAAUUAUAAAAUUAUAAAAUUAUGCAACCAUAAAAAUUGACCUUCAAAAUGCACUGAGCCUUCUCAUUUGUUGAUAAGCAAGGAGAAUAUGAAUGGACCACUUACUAGAUGAACUAUAAGUAAUAGAUGUAAGUUUAAAAAAAUUAAUUUCACUUGAAGUAUCUCAGGUGUUACAUUGUGUUGUAGUUGCAAAUUUUUGCAGAAUGAAUAGGCCAGUGUUUUUGAGUACUUAUCAAACUUUCAUUUUUUUUCUGCAACCAGGUACAAAACUGUUAUUAUAUAAGAGGUGCCCUCUGCUAUCUACUGGAUGAUAGAUAAUGUUUUCAAAAUUUAAUAUUUAGCCAACACAGCUGAUCUUCUGUGUACAAAAAAAAAGUGUAUAGCAUAUUGUUUAUAGUAUCCCCUAUUAUUUGGCUAGCCCAGAUGACCCUUAAAUCAAAGUUUUGUGUAAACUCAACUCAAAGAAAUAGAACCAUAGAGAACUAUAAAUAUUAAACAUCUUCUUUUUUCUCUAAAUAUCCUUGAAGAGUUAAGUUUAAGGGAUAAACGAAAUUUCUCCCUUGCUCACUCCAUUCCAGUGAGAUUUUACUAUCUAUCUUAACAUCAUGUCACUUUUUAUUGCUUUCCAGUUAAAAUAAAUUGUUCUAUUUUUAUUCUUUUCUCUAGGGAGGGAAAAAGAUACAUCAAACUUCUUUUAGGCAUAGGAUGGAAAAUAAUUUAUUCUCUACACUUGACUUCUCAAUAAGAAUAAAAACAAUGAAAUCUGACUUUCUUUCCAUAAGAAAACUGGAUGGGACAGCCAGUGGGCAUGCUGUCACCCAGCAGGUGGAGAUUUAUUUUUUACAUUUGGUUAACAUAUCUUGGAUCAAGCAUUCAAUCCCAAAGUGAAGAGAAAGAUAGUUCUGUGUGCUAGAUGCCAGCAGUGCUGUCCACAGCUGUCACAGAUUAAAUAUGAAAAGUCAUCACUCUAAUCUAUGGGGCUUUUACUUUUUUGUGGCAGAGGCUGGAUUUGUGCAUAUACCUGUCCCUGUGGUCUUUAAUAGUUUGUUGUGGCUAUGAUGUGUCAUCACUAUUUACAAAAUUGUGAAUGGAAUAAUAAAUGCUGAAAACCCUCAAUUUAUAUCACAAAGAAUAGUACCAAUGGGCACAUCACAGUUUGUCCUACAUGGACUGAGUGCUGCUAGAAUUAAUUUGCUAUCGGCAAAGGACAACCACUGUCGAGUAAUUAAUUCACUGAAGAUCUGAAAGGAAGUAAGGACUGGGGCACUUUAGGGAGAAGAUAAGCAAGCAAGGGUGGCAUCAGGAUUUUGAAAGAAAUUGCCUUAAUUCUCUUUGAGGACUUUGAGAAAACAAAUCGAAAUCAUAGUUUGUAGACUUUCUGAAUCAUGUAUGGGCAGCUGUGUGAAAAAUUAACAUCAGUGGCCUUCACUGACUUCAAUAGAAAUACCUCUUUUUCCCUCUUCAUUACCAAGUGUGUGUGUGUAUAUGUGAUCUUUAGUACAAUUAGGAUACCGAGAGCAACAACAGCAAGAAUAUUUAUGUCUCAUGUUUCACAGCAAUUUGUAUUUAAAUUGGAGAUGAAUUAUUGUUACCAGAACUAUGUUCACAUGUUCUGCCUUGGGGACCCACAAUUAAAUAGAGGUUUUUAUUUAAAAUGUAUUAGGCAGGAGAAUUAGGAAGGAGGGAAGAUAGAUGGAAAUAAGGAAAUCAGGAACUAAUUUUUAAAUGCCCAUCAUGUGUUAGUCCUAUCUUAUGUUCACUUCAUAUUUGCAUAUAUUCUCUCCCUGUCUGCUUGCGUAGGGGGUUAUGUGUGUAUCUCCCCCCACAACUUACCUGAAAUUAUAAAUAGAAAUUAUAUACAGAGCUCUAAGAAUAUAUAUAAAACAGGUAAAAGAAAAGACAAUAUUCAGCAACCCAUACACAUCUGGAACUCUAGGUCUUCUUUGGCCAAGAAAACACUCACAUACAAAAAAGAAAUGGGGGAAAUAUAAGUGAGUAUGUUUGCCUAAAAUUUACAAAGACAGGAAUAUAACCUUUUUUGAUUACUUCUUAAUAUUUUACAUUUUAGGACAUCAUUAUUUAGUUUAGUAUAAAUUGCCAAGACUAUUCUAUUUUCUAAUUAUCGUACAAGUUUAGUGUUUUGUGAAGAUGAAUGAAAGUAUGUUGCCACUUUUACUAUUUUGUUUUAUUAAUAAUACUCCAUGGGUUUUGACUCCUUGUUUUACUGUGCCAAAAUUACAUGUUGGCAUCUAACCAUUUCACAAUUGUUUAUUUGUUUGUGUUUUGGCUUUGAUCAAAUAAAUAUUUUCAUAUUAGCUCAUAACUACACAUGAUUCUCUUUCAAACAAUUCUGUCCUCUCCCUACUGAAAUGAGUUAAAUUGGAGAAAAACAAAGGAAAUGACUAUUUAAAAAAUUCACAGUGUCAUAAGAAAAAGGGAAUAUAUAUAUAUAACAGCAAGCCAGAGUCUCCUGAGGCACAGCAGGUUAAGGAUCAGGCAUUUCCACUGCAGCAGUUUGGGUCACUGCUGUGGCACAGUUUUGAUACCUGCCUUGGGAACUUUGCAUGCCACAGGUGCAGCCAAGUAAAACUAAAAGAAAAAAAAAAAAGAAAAGAAAACAGCAAGCCAAUUAAAAAUAGUAUAAAAGAAUAGGUGGUUCAGCUUUAAUUAAGGAAUCCUAGCUAGAAGAUGGUAGGGCUAUGAUUCUAAAAGGAGCUAGACAAUCCCCUGCCAUCUAAGUACUCCCUCUAUUUAUCUAUCUAUCUACCUGUCUAUGUAUCCAAAGAAGCAGCUGACUUAAGUUUUUCAAGGGCAAAGACUAUAUCUUUGUAUGGUUAGUAACUGAAGUCUCAUGCAGAUGCUCAGUAAAUGUUGACUGCAAAUAUAAAAACCAAAACUAACAAAUAAUAAAACUUUCUUUCUCUAUAGUGUUUCUGUACAUAGCAGGGAUAUCUACCUAAGUAAUAUUCCUACUAAUACCUACAUAGAAUUCCUAUUAUAUUAAUAUUUCAAUUUAAAUCAAAGAUAUAAGUAUGUCCUUUUUAAAGGGUAGAUGAAAGUCAAAGAACAGAAUUAUCAGUGAAAGAGAGUGUGUGCGUGUGUGCGUGUGUGUGUGUGUGUGUGUGUGUGUGUGUGUACUUCUUUUUAUUUGCCUUCAUGGUCUGGACUGAGGGGAGUGCAAUUAGUUCAAAUAGCCAUAAUAACUCCAUUUAGGUUUCAAGGUAUUCGACAACUCAAGCUAAGAUUUAUGGACAUCUUAAAGUGCAAGUAAUCCCAGGAAUCGGAAGCCAUGAGGUCACUUUAACUCUUUUGAUAAUGAUUUUAUCAAUGUAAUCCUUAUAAGAGGGAUCUCUUUUAAAAAUACAAUAAAUAAAUAAAUGGCGAGUUCAUGAUGGUCUAGUGGUAAGUACUUGGCGCUUUCAGUGCUGCAGCCUGAGGUUCAAUUUUGGUCUGGGAACCGAGAUCCUACAUCAAGCCACUGCAUGCUGUGGUCAAAAGAAAGAAAAAAUGAAAGAGAGAGAGAGAAAGAAAGGGAAAGAGACAGAAAGAGAAAGAAAAAAAGAGAAAAAGAAAGAGCCGGGACAAAGGGAGACGGUGGAGAACAGAAUGAAUGUACAUCAUAUCAAAGACAAAGGUCAUUAACUUCAUAAGGUAAAGUGAUCUAGAGAGAAAAAAAUCAAUAAAUGAUAUAUAUAUAUAUAUUAAAAAACUAAGGGAUUCUGUCUUUUUAAGAUUUCAGUUUUCUUCAGAAGCUUUAAAUUCAAGAAUGGGUAAAAGCUAUUCCUUCAGGCUUAUCUUUAAUAAAAGUCUAUUUUAAUGCCUUCCCAGGAAUAUGCUUAGCCUGUAGCUUCUUUCUGAAGGAGCUAUAUUUCCUGGACCAUGUUAUUUACAGAUAUACCAUGGAUUUAUAUUAUGGAUGAUAUUAAGGGUCUACUUAUUGAUCUAUUAUUUACAGAUUUAUUUAUGCCAUUAUGGAUACAAGGUGCUUAGAAGACAGGCACCCAACACAACUGUAUUUUCUGCUUUUUAUUUUGUCAUUUUCAUGCUUACAGAGCAGCUAAUUUCCUUAUCUGCUAUUAAGAUCUCAGUCAAAAUCAGUGAUACAGUCUCUCUCUGGUCAGCCUGAUGGUCUGAUUGUUUUGGUCAAUGAUAAAGAUGUCGAUUAUCAGUCAGAGAGAGAGAAGAUCAAAAGAUUUUACUCUCCUCUAUUCUCUAUCCAUUAUAUUUUCAAGAACUAGGCAGGGUUUUGACAAAGAUAUGUCAGACAAGCGUAAUUAUUGAAAAGCGGACAACAAAAGACCUUUAGACAUUUCAUGAUUUCAUGAUUCUUAAAACAGGCAAGUGGACUCUAGCAUUCUUUGCUUGACCUAAUGAUUUUUAUCUCAUUUAUUUCCUAUAAAAAGAGAAAUUUCUCACAUGGUAUUUUUAAGGAAAUUUAGGUCACAGGUAGGUAAUUUUCCUAAAAGUUUCUCCCAAGCAUGCAUAGUAAAAUAAGUCUAAUUAGAUGGUAUAUAAGACUCCUUUAGAAUGUAUAUAUAUGUAUAUAUAUGCACAUAUAUAUGCAUGUAUGACUGGGACACUUUGCUGUAGAGCAGAAAUUGGUACAAUGUUGUAAAUCAACUCUAUAAAAAAAUAAGAGAGAAAAAAAUUUUAAAAGAUUUCUUUAGCUCUAAAUAUAUAAGGACUCCAUUAAUGCCAUGUUAUCUGGAACAGUAGAAAUAUCAGAAUGACAGUUUUGCAUGGAAACACUAAAACUACUUAUUUCCAUUAUUGUUUUCUAAUGGUUAUCAACACUUACUUUAAUAAAAGUAAACUCAUAUCCUCUGAUUUCCAUUUCAUAUCUUAUUUUGUGAAUUAUACAGUAAACUACUGACUAAAACCAGAUUUUUCGAUUCUGCAAAUUCAGCAGCUUGUAGCCCCAGUGUCAUCAGUACCACUUCGGUUUGUCUACGUGCAUACCCUGUUUUUGUUCUCCAUUGUACUUCCGUGUGUUCACUCAAAACACAGUGAAUGAGUACACCUGAAACUAACACAAUGUUGCAAGUCAACUAUACUUCUAUAAAUAUAUUUUAAAGAUUAAAAAAAAAAAAACAGUGAAUGAACCCCCACUCCAGUGCCAGUAACCAGUAACUAGGAGUAACCAGUAACUAGGAGUAGCCAGUAACCAGUAACUAGGAGUAGAAAGAAUAAGUACCACAGAAUCUCAUUCAAAAAAAA